AGAGGGGCGGCCUUGCUC
This 18-nucleotide unclassified non-coding RNA is filed under the name Chlamydomonas reinhardtii. RNAcentral's name for it is "small RNA Cre_0434". Lineage: Eukaryota; Viridiplantae; Chlorophyta; Chlorophyceae; Chlamydomonadales; Chlamydomonadaceae. The record is from RNAcentral.